GGGGGUGUAGCUCAGUUGGGAGAGCGCCUGCUUUGCAUGCAGUAUGUCGUCGGUUCGAUUCCGUCCACCUCCACCA
RNAcentral lists this transfer RNA (76 nucleotides) under Pseudomonadota bacterium. RNAcentral's name for it is "tRNA-Ala". It matches the Rfam family "tRNA". Rfam says of the family: Transfer RNA (tRNA) molecules are approximately 80 nucleotides in length. Their secondary structure includes four short double-helical elements and three loops (D, anti-codon, and T loops). Further hydrogen bonds mediate the characteristic L-shaped molecular structure. tRNAs have two regions of fundamental functional importance: the anti-codon, which is responsible for specific mRNA codon recognition, and the 3' end, to which the tRNAs corresponding amino acid is attached (by aminoacyl-tRNA synthetases). tRNAs cope with the degeneracy of the genetic code in two manners: having more than one tRNA (with a specific anti-codon) for a particular amino acid; and 'wobble' base-pairing, i.e. permitting non-standard base-pairing at the 3rd anti-codon position. RNAcentral also lists the same sequence under 3 other names. The record is from RNAcentral. Lineage: Bacteria; Pseudomonadati; Pseudomonadota.